Molecule: ribosomal RNA, 484 nt
Filed under: uncultured bacterium
Lineage: Bacteria
Description: partial 16S ribosomal RNA
Rfam family: Bacterial small subunit ribosomal RNA
Source: RNAcentral
AUUGAACGCUGGCGGCAUGCUUUACACAUGCAAGUCGAACGGCAGCGCGGGCUUCGGCCUGGCGGCGAGUGGCGAACGGGUGAGUAAUGCAUCGGAACGUGCCCAGUAGUGGGGGAUAGCCCGGCGAAAGCCGGAUUAAUACCGCAUACGACCUGAGGGUGAAAGCGGGGGACCGAAAGGCCUCGCGCUAUUGGAGCGGCCGAUGUCGGAUUAGCUAGUUGGUGGGGUAAAGGCUUACCAAGGCGACGAUCCGUAGCUGGUCUGAGAGGACGACCAGCCACACUGGGACUGAGACACGGCCCAGACUCCUACGGGAGGCAGCGGUGGGGAAUUUUGGACAAUGGGGGCAACCCUGAUCCAGCCAUGCCGCGUGCGGGAAGAAGGCCUUCGGGUUGUAAACCGCUUUUGUUCGGGAAGAAAUCCUCUGGGCUAAUACCCCGGGGGGAUGACGGUACCGGAAGAAUAAGCACCGGCUAACUACGUG